This 432-nucleotide ribosomal RNA is filed under the name uncultured bacterium. RNAcentral's name for it is "bacterial SSU rRNA". It matches the Rfam family "Bacterial small subunit ribosomal RNA", at positions 8 to 488 of the family's 1533-position model. The record is from RNAcentral.
AGAGUUUGAUCCUGGCUCAGAACGAACGCUGGCGGCAGGCUUAACACAUGCAAGUCGAGCGCCCCGCAAGGGGAGCGGCAGACGGGUGAGUAACACGUGGGAACGUGCCUUUAGGUUCGGAAUAACUCAGGGAAACUUGUGCUAAUACCGAAUGUGCCCUUCGGGGGAAAGAUUUAUCGCCUUUAGAGCGGCCCGCGUCUGAUUAGCUUGUUGGUGGGGUAAUGGCCCACCAAGGCUACGAUCAGUAGCUGGUCUGAGAGGAUGACCAGCCACAUUGGGACUGAGACACGGCCCAAACUCCUACGGGAGGCAGCAGUGGGGAAUCUUGCGCAAUGGGCGAAAGCCUGACGCAGCCAUGCCGCGUGUAUGAUGAAGGUCUUAGGAUUGUAAAAUACUUUCACCGGUGAAGAUAAUGACUGUAGCCGGAGAAGA